RNAcentral lists this transfer RNA (64 nucleotides) under Thalassaphorura encarpata. Its description in RNAcentral is "tRNA-His". The record is from RNAcentral. Lineage: Eukaryota; Metazoa; Arthropoda; Collembola; Poduromorpha; Onychiuridae.
AUUUAAGUAGUUUAUAAAAAAAAUAAUGGGCUGUGGAACCAUAGAAAAAUUUUUUUCUUAAAUA